This 429-nucleotide ribosomal RNA is filed under the name Gemmatimonadota bacterium. RNAcentral describes it as "Gemmatimonadetes bacterium partial 16S ribosomal RNA". It matches the Rfam family "Bacterial small subunit ribosomal RNA", at positions 355 to 776 of the family's 1533-position model. Lineage: Bacteria; Pseudomonadati; Gemmatimonadota. The record is from RNAcentral.
UAGGGAAUCUUCGGCAAUGGACGAAAGUCUGACCGAGCAACGCCGCGUGAGUGAAGAAGGUUUUCGUAUUGUAAAACUCUGUUGUUAGAGAAGAACAAGUACGUUAGUAACUGAACGUCCCCUGACGGUAUCUAACCAGAAAGCCACGGCUAACUACGUGCCAGCAGCCGCGGUAAUACGUAGGUGGCAAGCGUUGUCCGGAUUUAUUGGGCGUAAAGCGAGCGCAGGCGGUUUCUUAAGUCUGAUGUGAAAGCCCCCGGCUCAACCGGGGAGGGUCAUUGGAAACUGGGAGACUUGAGUGCAGAAGAGGAGAGUGGAAUUCCAUGUGUAGCGGUGAAAUGCGUAGAUAUAUGGAGGAACACCAGUGGCGAAGGCGGCACUCUGGUAUGUAACUGACGCUGAGGCUCGAAAGCGUGGGGAGCAAACAGG